GAGAGAAUAGGGUUUUUGAAGAAGAAGAUGAGACCGGUUUAUAUAAUACGAAGGGGAGGGCAAUUUGAGCAGGGCCGGCCUUGGCCAUUGCCUUCACCUCAAAUUUCAAGGGCCUCAUAAGAAAAAUGAGCCCAAAAAAAAUUUUCCCCAAUCCAAAACCCCUUAAAUCCCUAAAAAAAAAUAAUACAUGCUUAAAAGACAGGAAAUGGACGGUCUUUCUUUUUCUCUCUUCACCAAAAAAAUUAUCAAUUCCCAAUAUCCCACCCACAAUUGCUGCAUCUCGAUUCUCUUGAAGGUUUCCAAAAAUCUCAAAAAUCUCAAGAUUUUAGGCAAGAAUAUUGGAAUUGGAGUUAGGGGAGAAGGGUCCAGAUGAAGAGAACGACCAGCUGUUGAAAGAGAAGGUAGUUUCGAUUAAGAAGGUUGUUGCUGAAAAACAAUAGCUGAGGAUUUUUCUCUAUAUUGGAGUAUUGGAGAACGAUUUGGCAGAAUAUAGGCCAUAAUUUUUUGCUUUUUGGUGUUCAAUAUUUGGCUACAGUAGAGUGAUUAUUUUGAUUUUGAGUUGUUGAAGUAAAAUCUAAAACGUGGGUUCUUGGUUUUUGAGUGGUUUUGGACAUGGCCAAGAUACCAGCUAUUGAAAGAGAAGGUAGUUACGGUUGA
Olea europaea var. sylvestris is the source of this 657-nucleotide long non-coding RNA. RefSeq lists it as uncharacterized. The transcript is spliced from 2 exons. NCBI's taxonomy places the organism in Eukaryota, Viridiplantae, Streptophyta, Magnoliopsida, Lamiales, Oleaceae. The record is from RefSeq and is a predicted model, not a curated record.